RNAcentral lists this ribosomal RNA (3244 nucleotides) under Durio zibethinus. RNAcentral's name for it is "eukaryotic LSU rRNA". It matches the Rfam family "Eukaryotic large subunit ribosomal RNA". The record is from RNAcentral. Lineage: Eukaryota; Viridiplantae; Streptophyta; Magnoliopsida; Malvales; Malvaceae.
AUGACCCUAGGUCAAGCGAGAUUACUCACUUAGUUUAAGUAUAUCAAUAAGUAGAGAAAUACAAAGAUUCUCUUAAUAAUGGUGAGCGAAUUGAGAAAAGCCCAACUUCAAAAUCAAAGUCUCUCUAUGUCCAAAUUGUAGUUUGAAAAAGCAUUCUUAUAGACAGAUCGAGCCCAAGUCCCAAAGAGGCAUUGGAGAGGAUGAAGUCCCAUUGUGCCUAGACCCUAUUGUACCAUGAAAUGCUAUCAAUUUGUUAGGUUGUUUGGGAAUAAAUUCCAUCCAAGGCUAAAUACGGGUGAGAAAUCGAUAGUGAACAAAUAUCACAAUGGAAAAAUUAAAAAGACUUUGAAAAGAGAGUGAAAGAAUGCUUGAAAUUAUCAAAAAGGACAUAAAUGAAGGCUAACGAUGUGUCCUAGUCGGAUGUGGAAUAACGAAAGUUGAUCUACCGAUUAGCUCAAGGCAUAGGUUGAUGCAAGUUGCAAUGGUAACCUUCGUAUCAGCCUACGUUCGGGCUUUCAAUAUGCCCAUGGAGACAUUGUCGCUAUGAUCAUGGAAUGCAACAUGCAUCAUCUUGUUAUGCCUCAAAACUUGCACGCUUUCGGCAUCAACCUACAGCUUAUUAUUUGACCCAUCUUAAAACAUGGAUCAAGGAGUUUGACAUGUAUACGAGUUAACAGGGCUAAAAAUCCAAUAAGGUACAAGGAUGCUGAUUGGCGAUAUCCUUCAAGGUGUACCAUUGAUGAACCUUGAUCUUCUAAGAAUUGAAAGUAAGCAUGCUUGUCGAGACCCAAAAUAUGGUGAACUAUGCUUAAGUGAGGUAAAGCCAGAGGAAACUCUAGUGGAAGCCCAUAGUGAUACUGACAUACAAAUCAUUCAUUUGACUUUAAUAUAAGGGCGAAAGACUAAUCAAACUAUCAGUAGUUAGUUCCUUUCAAAGAUUCUUUCAAGAUAGUUAGAGCCCUUAACGAGUUAUAUCGAGUAAAACCAAUGAUUAGUGGCAUCGGGGGCACAAUGCCUUCAACCUAUUCUCAAACUUUAAAUAGGUAGGAUGGCAUGACUACUUUGUUAAGCCUUGCCACAAAAUCAAUAGUUCAAAGUGGGUCACUUUUGGUAAGCAAAAUUGGUGAUAUAGGAUGAAUUGGAAAUCGGGUUAUGGUGCUAAACUGCACACUAACCUAAAACCUAGAAAAGGGUGUUGUUUGAUUAAGACAACAAGACGGUUGUCAUGGAAGUUGAAAUCCUUUAAGGAAUGUGUAACAAGUCACUUGUCAAAUCAACUAGUCCUGAAAAUGGAUAGCACUUAAGCAUGUGACCUAUACCCUACCAUUAGGGUAAAGACUAGGCCUUGAUGAGUAGGAAGGCAUAGUAGUUAUCGUAAAACUUGAAGUACAAGCCUGGACAGAAUGGUCAUUAGUACAAAUCUUGGUGGUUGUAGUAAAUAUUCAAAUAAAAACUUUGAAGGCCGAAGAAGGGAAAAGUUUCAUGUGAAUGGUGCUUACAUAUAGGUUAGUCGAUCCUAAGAAACGAGAGGAAGCCCAUCCAAUAGCGCAUCUAAUGCAAGCUUCGAAAAAGAAUAGGGAUAAAAUUUUUGAAUCGAGAGGUAAUGGCUGAAGGUAAUGUUAGAAAGUCUAGAGACAUCAAUGAAAGCUUUGAAAAGAGUUAUCUUUGUUAUUUAAUAGCCUACCUACCUUGGAAAUGGCUCAACUGGAGGUAAGGUCUAGCAGCUAGAAGAACACUGCACAUCAUGUGGUGUUUCGUGCACCCUCAAUGGCCCUUAAAAAUUUAGAAGAUCGAGUGCUAUUCACACCUGGUCAUACUCAUAAUUACAAUAGGUUUUCAAAGUGAAUAGCUUUUGGUCAAUGGAACAAUGUAGGUAAAAGAAGUCGACAAAAUGGAUCUGUAACCUCGAGAAAAAGACUGGCUCUAGGGGCUAGGCACGAGGUUCUUAUUCUUGAACCUGUUGCUAUCGAUGCAUAGCUUGAGCUCUUCUUGAAGUGAGAGUGAGUCAUCACAUGCCGAUCAAGGGAUGGACUAGGAACGGUUCCAUCGAGGGCCUUUCCCAGAUGAUGAACAGUCGACUUAAAAUUGGUAUGGACAAGGGGAAUCUGACUAUUUAAUUAAAACAAAGUAUUGCAAUGGUCCCUAUGCAUGCUCAUGUAUUAUGAUUCCUACCAGUGCUUUGAAUGUCAAAGUGAAAAAAAUUCAACCAAGUGCAGGUAAAUAGCAAGAGUAACUAUGACUCUCUUAGGGUAGCUAAAUGCCUCAUCAUCUAAUCAAUGAUGCACAUGAAUGGAUUAACGAGAUUUUCACUAUCCAUGUCUACUAUCUGGCAAAACCACAGCCAAGGGAAUGGACUUGGCAGAAUCAGCAGGGAAAGAAAACCUUGUUGAGCUUAACUUUAGUCCUACUUUGUGAAAUGACUUAAGAGGUGUAGGAUAAGUGAGAACCCUUGGGUGAAAUUCAAAUACCACUACUUUUAACGUUAUUUUACUUAUUCCAUGAAUUGGAGGUGGGGCACGACCCUUUUUUUUAGACCCAAGAUUAAUCUCGAUCAAUUGAUAUAGGUGAAAGAUAUUGUUAGGUAGGGAGUUUUGCUAUGGCAGCACAUCUAUUAAAAGAUAACAUAGGUGUCCUAAGACGAGCUAAAUGAGAACAAAAAAUUUGUAUGAAACAAAAGGUAAAAGCUUAUUUGAUUCUGAUUUUUAGUAUGAAUAUGAAUCGUGAAAGCAUGGCCUAUCGAUCUUUUAGACCUUCAAAAUUUGAAGCUAGACGUGUCAGAAAAAUCACAAGGAUAAUUUCUUGUGGCAGCCAAGCAUUUAUAGCAACAUUACUUUUUAAUCCUUCGAUGUCGCUCUCUUAUCAUUAUGAAGUAGAAUUCACCAAUUGUUGGAUUGUUCACCCACCAAUAAGGAACAUGAGUUGGGUUUAGACUAUCGUGAGAUAUGUUAGUUUUACCUUACUGAUGGCAAUUUUGUAAUAGUGAUUCAACCUAGUACGAGAGAAACCAUUGAUUCAUACAAUUGGUCAUCACACUUAGUUGAAAAGCCAGUGGCAUGAAGCUACCAUGUGUCAAAUUAUGACUAAAUGCCUUUAAGUCAGUAUCUGGGUUAAAAAUGAUGCAUGUGCCCGUUGCCUAAUUUUCUACCCAUAAUAAAGGCCAUGGCCCCCAAGGGCAAAUGUCGUAGGUGCAACCUUCACGGUAAACAAGCUAUGCAAGCCUCUUUGAAGCUCAAUUCUCACUAAA